GCGCCGUUAGAUCAGUUGGUUAGAUCGUCAGCUUUACACGCUGAAGGUCAAGGGUUCGACUCCCUUACGGCGUA
Naegleria gruberi is the source of this 74-nucleotide transfer RNA. It matches the Rfam family "tRNA". Rfam says of the family: Transfer RNA (tRNA) molecules are approximately 80 nucleotides in length. Their secondary structure includes four short double-helical elements and three loops (D, anti-codon, and T loops). Further hydrogen bonds mediate the characteristic L-shaped molecular structure. tRNAs have two regions of fundamental functional importance: the anti-codon, which is responsible for specific mRNA codon recognition, and the 3' end, to which the tRNAs corresponding amino acid is attached (by aminoacyl-tRNA synthetases). tRNAs cope with the degeneracy of the genetic code in two manners: having more than one tRNA (with a specific anti-codon) for a particular amino acid; and 'wobble' base-pairing, i.e. permitting non-standard base-pairing at the 3rd anti-codon position. NCBI's taxonomy places the organism in Eukaryota, Heterolobosea, Eutetramitea, Acrasida, Naegleriidae. The record is from Rfam.